GGAUAUAAGAACAAGCUGACAGUGUCAUCUGUCACCCCACUGACUGCAGGGUCAAAUAGGUUGACCUGGCUGACUGGGCAGUUGUCCUCUUUCUCUCUCACUUCUCAUGUACAUGCCUCCUAAAUUUGUACACUCAGUUAAGAAGGACACCCUUCACCCAACAGCAGCUGACUGUUUCGGGGCCAAGAGUAUGAAAUAGCUGUGCUCCCCUGGUAAAACUUUCAAACAAGCCCUCAAGGUCCAUUUGAGGAAGAAUGUAGGGUAGCCAGGCCUCCAAGACUCCCUAAACAUCCAAAGGAGGUGCUGCAUGUGACAAUCUGUCUUU
RNAcentral lists this small nuclear RNA (325 nucleotides) under Octodon degus (degu). RNAcentral describes it as "7SK RNA (ENSODEG00000024039.1)". It matches the Rfam family "7SK RNA". Rfam says of the family: 7SK was discovered as an abundant small nuclear RNA in the mid-70s but a possible function has only recently been suggested. Lineage: Eukaryota; Metazoa; Chordata; Mammalia; Rodentia; Octodontidae. The record is from RNAcentral.